Molecule: long non-coding RNA, 761 nt
Organism: Cornus florida
Lineage: Eukaryota; Viridiplantae; Streptophyta; Magnoliopsida; Cornales; Cornaceae
Exons: 3
Source: RefSeq, a predicted model, not a curated record
CCCACUUGUUGUCCUAGGAUUGGUGCACUUGUUGGCAUAGAUGGUUGACAAGUGUAGGGUUAAUAUUUAAUCUUGGAAGCUUACUUGGAUUCAUGACAAGUGUAGGACUCACCUUUAGUCUUGCAUUAGUGUGUGUGUGAGAGUUAGUGCACGAGCACCUAGUGAGUGGAGAAGCCCACCAAUUUAGCUUAGGGUUUACACAUUUGAAUUCAUUCAUCACUUUCCUCUCAAGAACCUUAAGGAAGCCACCAUUGGAGAAAAACUUGACUAGUAGCUUUGACUUCAUUUUUGGUGCCCUUUUACUCACCUUAGAACUUUGAACUUGGAAUACUUUUUGUUCCCCUCAUCCUCCUCUUCAAAACCCUUGAAGGAUCUAGCCUAACUCCUAGUUUUGCUUUGGUAUCUAGAGAUUCAAUUCUUUAGUGAGACCGAAAAUUUGGGGCAAUUUCAUUUUGGUGGUAAUUGGGAUUUUCAUUCCAAUUGAGGUACAAGACUCAAGAUUUGAAGAUUCCAUUGCUCCUUGGAUGGCUUACAGUUUCUAUGUUUUUAUUUUAUGCAAGUGUUAGCAUAAGAUGCCUCUUUGUAGCCCUAUUUGUUUAAACUUGUAUUCGUUGAUUCGUAUAUGUAAAGUGUACAUAAGUGCACUCUUUUCAAUGUAUUUAACAUGUAUGAGAUGAGGCCGGAGGCCAAUGACAUGUAUCUCGUUUUCUAUGCACUUUUGUUUUCAAAGUUUAUUAUGAAAAUAUUGGAAAAUGUUAAGU